GAUGAACGCUGGCGGCGUGCCUAAUACAUGCAAGUCGAGCGAACGGACGAGAAGCUUGCUUCUCUGAUGUUAGCGGCGGACGGGUGAGUAACACGUGGAUAACCUACCUAUAAGACUGGGAUAACUUCGGGAAACCGUAGCUAAUACCGGAUAAUAUUUUGAACCGCAUGGUUCAAAAGUGAAAGACGUUCUUGCUGUCACUUAUAGAUGUAUCCGCGCUGCAUUAGCUAGUUGGUAAGGUAACGGCUUACCAAGGCAACGAUGCAUAGCCGACCUGAGAGGGUGAUCGGCCACACUGGAACUGAGACACGGUCCAGACUCCUACGGGAGGCAGCAGUAGGGAAUCUUCCGCAAUGGGCGAAAGCCUGACGGAGCAACGCCGCGUGAGUGAUGAAGGUCUUCGGAUCGUAAAACUCUGUUAUUAGGGAAGAACAUAUGUGUAAGUAACUGUGCACAUCUUGACGGUACCUAAUCAGAAAGCCACGGCUAACUACGUG
This 497-nucleotide ribosomal RNA is filed under the name uncultured bacterium. Its description in RNAcentral is "partial 16S ribosomal RNA". It matches the Rfam family "Bacterial small subunit ribosomal RNA", at positions 28 to 507 of the family's 1533-position model. The record is from RNAcentral.